GGCGAGUGAAGCGGGAAGAGCUCAAAUUUGAAAGCUGGUACCUUUGGUGCCCGCGUUGUAAUCUCGAGACGCGUUUUCCGCGCGGCGCUAUGGACAAGUUCCUUGGAACAGGACAUCGUAGAGGGUGAAAAUCCCGUACUUGCCAUGGAUGCACCGUGCUUUGUGAUACGUGCUCAAAGAGUCGAGUUGUUUGGGAUUGCAGCUCAAAAUGGGUGGUAGACUCCAUCUAAAGCUAAAUAUCGGGGAGAGACCGAUAGCGAACAAGUACCGUGAGGGAAAGAUGAAAAGCACUUUGGAAAGAGAGUUAAAAGUACGUGAAAUUGUCGAAAGGGAAGCGCUUGAAGUCAGCCAUGCCGCUCAGGACUCAGCCUGGCUUUUGCUUGGUGUACUUCCUGGGUAGCAAGUCAGCAUUGGUUUGGACCGUCGGAGAAGCAUGGCAGGAAUGUGACGCCCUCGGGCGUGUUAUAGCCUGCCAUUGGAUACGCCGGUCUAGACCAAGGAACGCAGUGCGCCUUACGGCGGGUCUUCGGACACCUUCGCACUUAGGAUGCUGGCGUAAUGGCUUUAAGCGGC
This 573-nucleotide ribosomal RNA is filed under the name Malassezia japonica. Its description in RNAcentral is "LSU rRNA". It matches the Rfam family "Eukaryotic large subunit ribosomal RNA", at positions 88 to 648 of the family's 3401-position model. Lineage: Eukaryota; Fungi; Basidiomycota; Malasseziomycetes; Malasseziales; Malasseziaceae. The record is from RNAcentral.